This 94-nucleotide microRNA precursor is filed under the name Marmota monax (woodchuck). Lineage: Eukaryota; Metazoa; Chordata; Mammalia; Rodentia; Sciuridae. The record is from RNAcentral.
AAAAAAAUCACCUAGAGGUUUUGCUAAAAGGUGCAGAUUCUAUUCCUUAGGCCUGUGACUCUGUAUUUUUAACAAGUCCCGAGGUGAUGCUGAU